Molecule: ribosomal RNA, 1554 nt
Filed under: Klebsiella pneumoniae
Lineage: Bacteria; Pseudomonadati; Pseudomonadota; Gammaproteobacteria; Enterobacterales; Enterobacteriaceae
Description: bacterial SSU rRNA
Rfam family: Bacterial small subunit ribosomal RNA
Source: RNAcentral
ACUUAAAUUGAAGAGUUUGAUCAUGGCUCAGAUUGAACGCUGGCGGCAGGCCUAACACAUGCAAGUCGAGCGGUAGCACAGAGAGCUUGCUCUCGGGUGACGAGCGGCGGACGGGUGAGUAAUGUCUGGGAAACUGCCUGAUGGAGGGGGAUAACUACUGGAAACGGUAGCUAAUACCGCAUAAUGUCGCAAGACCAAAGUGGGGGACCUUCGGGCCUCAUGCCAUCAGAUGUGCCCAGAUGGGAUUAGCUAGUAGGUGGGGUAAUGGCUCACCUAGGCGACGAUCCCUAGCUGGUCUGAGAGGAUGACCAGCCACACUGGAACUGAGACACGGUCCAGACUCCUACGGGAGGCAGCAGUGGGGAAUAUUGCACAAUGGGCGCAAGCCUGAUGCAGCCAUGCCGCGUGUGUGAAGAAGGCCUUCGGGUUGUAAAGCACUUUCAGCGGGGAGGAAGGCGUUAAGGUUAAUAACCUUGGCGAUUGACGUUACCCGCAGAAGAAGCACCGGCUAACUCCGUGCCAGCAGCCGCGGUAAUACGGAGGGUGCAAGCGUUAAUCGGAAUUACUGGGCGUAAAGCGCACGCAGGCGGUCUGUCAAGUCGGAUGUGAAAUCCCCUGGCUCAACCUGGGAACUGCAUUCGAAACUGGCAGGCUAGAGUCUUGUAGAGGGGGGUAGAAUUCCAGGUGUAGCGGUGAAAUGCGUAGAGAUCUGGAGGAAUACCGGUGGCGAAGGCGGCCCCCUGGACAAAGACUGACGCUCAGGUGCGAAAGCGUGGGGAGCAAACAGGAUUAGAUACCCUGGUAGUCCACGCCGUAAACGAUGUCGAUUUGGAGGUUGUGCCCUUGAGGCGUGGCUUCCGGAGCUAACGCGUUAAAUCGACCGCCUGGGGAGUACGGCCGCAAGGUUAAAACUCAAAUGAAUUGACGGGGGCCCGCACAAGCGGUGGAGCAUGUGGUUUAAUUCGAUGCAACGCGAAGAACCUUACCUGGUCUUGACAUCCACAGAACUUAGCAGAGAUGCUUUGGUGCCUUCGGGAACUGUGAGACAGGUGCUGCAUGGCUGUCGUCAGCUCGUGUUGUGAAAUGUUGGGUUAAGUCCCGCAACGAGCGCAACCCUUAUCCUUUGUUGCCAGCGGUUCGGCCGGGAACUCAAAGGAGACUGCCAGUGAUAAACUGGAGGAAGGUGGGGAUGACGUCAAGUCAUCAUGGCCCUUACGACCAGGGCUACACACGUGCUACAAUGGCAUAUACAAAGAGAAGCGACCUCGCGAGAGCAAGCGGACCUCAUAAAGUAUGUCGUAGUCCGGAUUGGAGUCUGCAACUCGACUCCAUGAAGUCGGAAUCGCUAGUAAUCGUAGAUCAGAAUGCUACGGUGAAUACGUUCCCGGGCCUUGUACACACCGCCCGUCACACCAUGGGAGUGGGUUGCAAAAGAAGUAGGUAGCUUAACCUUCGGGAGGGCGCUUACCACUUUGUGAUUCAUGACUGGGGUGAAGUCGUAACAAGGUAACCGUAGGGGAACCUGCGGUUGGAUCACCUCCUUACCUUAAAGAA